AAGAUGGAGAGAGACAGACCUUUAUCCCCAACACCCUGAGAAGGAACAAGAUGAAAGCCAUUAUCCUGUGCGCUCUGCUAGCCACCGUCCUGAUUCAGGCUGUGGUCAGUGAUGAUGUGGAGCAAUCUGAGAAUGCAGUUAUUGGAGCUGUGGAUCAAACUGAGCAAGGGGUCGUAGAAGCUGCAGGUCAAACUGAGCAAGAGCAUAAGAUCCGUCGCCGCCGUCGCUUGCCUGCUUAUUAAGACCCUAUGGCAACUGGCAAGUUUCAAGGGGUUGACAGCAUUGAACAUUGCAAUCUUUUGAUUUGAUUUCUUGGGUCUGAGUCCUCGUCGAGUCUUGGGUGCUCUUGAACCUACUGCUCCCCUAUACUCUGAUUUUACCCCCAGUCUUCCCUGCUGAGUUUUCCUAAUCUCAGUUAUGUGCUUCUCCCCGACAUACAAUACCCUAUCCCAAUAAAUCUUGGCUGCUAAUA
Molecule: long non-coding RNA, 472 nt
Organism: Xenopus tropicalis (tropical clawed frog)
Lineage: Eukaryota; Metazoa; Chordata; Amphibia; Anura; Pipidae
Exons: 6
Source: RefSeq, a predicted model, not a curated record